ACGUGGACACCUACCCUAUGGUGGGGGAUAACCCCGGGAAACUGGGGAUAAUACCCCAUAGACUAUGGAUGCUGGAAUGCUCUGUAGCCGAAAGGUCAGCCGCCAUAGGAUGGGUCUGCGGCCGAUUAGGUUGUUGUUGGGGUAACGGCCCAACAAGCCUGUAAUCGGUACGGGUUGUGGGAGCAAGAGCCCGGAGAUGGAUUCUGAGACACGAAUCCAGGCCCUACGAGGCGCAGCAGGCGCGAAAACUUUACAAUGCGGGAAACCGUGAUAAGGGAACUCCGAGUGCCCGUUAAAUCGGGCUGUCCAUCAGUUUAAAAAACUGGUGAAGAAAGGGCCGGGCAAGACCGGUGCCAGCCGCCGCGGUAAUACCGGCGGCUCGAGUGGUGGCCACUAUUACUGGGCUUAAAGCGUUCGUAGCUGGUUUGUUAAGUCUCUGGGGAAAUCUUCCGGCUUAACCGGAAGGCAUCUCAGGGAUACUGGCAGACUAGGGACCGGAAGAGGUGAGGGGUACUCCAGG
RNAcentral lists this ribosomal RNA (520 nucleotides) under uncultured archaeon. RNAcentral's name for it is "bacterial SSU rRNA". It matches the Rfam family "Archaeal small subunit ribosomal RNA", at positions 98 to 624 of the family's 1478-position model. The record is from RNAcentral.